UUAACCUGCGGGGAGGAUCAUUG
Molecule: ribosomal RNA, 23 nt
Filed under: Trymalium wayi
Lineage: Eukaryota; Viridiplantae; Streptophyta; Magnoliopsida; Rosales; Rhamnaceae
Description: partial 18S ribosomal RNA
Source: RNAcentral